GCAUAACUUCUUCAUUUCUUGUCCGUUUUCGUCGAUUCUUUUUCCAGAACGCUUGGCUUGACCUUGGCUUCGAUUCUAGGGGUGUUUCACAGCAAACAAGUCUUUGGAACUCCGGCAAAAAGGCUUCAAAGUCCACUGUUUAAGUUGAUGAUGACGAUGCUAUGAAAAGAAGUAGCGUUGAUGCCUAGAUACACAUAUAGACUUGUUGUUACUUGA
Molecule: long non-coding RNA, 216 nt
Filed under: Helianthus annuus (common sunflower)
Lineage: Eukaryota; Viridiplantae; Streptophyta; Magnoliopsida; Asterales; Asteraceae
Description: sRNA HanXRQr2_Chr08g0339011
Source: RNAcentral